CUACGGGACGCUGCAGUGGGGAAUCUUGCGCAAUGGGCGAAAGUCUGACGCAGCAACGCCGCGUGCGGGAAGAAUGCCCUUUGGGCUGUAAACCGCUUUCAGCAGGAACGAAAAUGACGGUACCUGCAGAAGAAGAAGCGGCCAACUAUGUGCCAGCAGCCGCGGUGAUACAUAGGCUUCGAGCGUUGUCCGGAUUUAUUGGGCGUAAAGAGUUCGUAGGCGGUUAAGUAAGUCGGGUGUGAAAAUUCUGGGCUCAACCCAGAAACGCCACCCGAUACUGCUUGACUUGAGUUCGACAGGGGAGUGGGGAAUUCCUAGUGUAGCGGUGAAAUGCGCAGAUAUUAGGAGGAACACCGGUGGCGAAGGCGCCACUCUGGGUCGACACUGACGCUGAGGAACGAAAGCAUGGGUAGCAAACAGGAUUAGAUACCCUCGUAGUC
Molecule: ribosomal RNA, 440 nt
Filed under: uncultured bacterium
Lineage: Bacteria
Description: partial 16S ribosomal RNA
Rfam family: Bacterial small subunit ribosomal RNA
Source: RNAcentral